Molecule: long non-coding RNA, 215 nt
Filed under: Homo sapiens (human)
Lineage: Eukaryota; Metazoa; Chordata; Mammalia; Primates; Hominidae
Description: non-protein coding lnc-AKIRIN1-2:1
Source: RNAcentral
UCCCAAAGUGCUGGGAUUACAGGCAUGAGCCACCGUGCCCAGCCCACACUCCAAAGUUUUAAAGGAUCUCAGAGAAGAGAGUGACUAUCAAAGCAUUUUGCAAAACCCUAGCUUAGCUGGGUGCUGUGGCUCAUGCCUGUAAUCCCAGCACUUUGGGAGGCCAAGGCGGGUGGAUCACGAGGUCAGGAGAUCGAGACCAUCCUGGCUAACUUGGU